UGUGUGCAGGUUCAAGUCCUGUUUUUCUAA
RNAcentral lists this transfer RNA (30 nucleotides) under Phrynosoma cornutum. Its description in RNAcentral is "partial tRNA-Gln". The record is from RNAcentral. Lineage: Eukaryota; Metazoa; Chordata; Lepidosauria; Squamata; Phrynosomatidae.